Long non-coding RNA from Cygnus olor (mute swan), 638 nucleotides. RefSeq lists it as uncharacterized. Lineage: Eukaryota; Metazoa; Chordata; Aves; Anseriformes; Anatidae. The record is from RefSeq and is a predicted model, not a curated record. The transcript has 4 exons.
UGGGGCUGCCGGGAAGGGGCGGCGGCUCCCUCAGAGCCCCUUCAGAGCCCCCCCAAGGGGACGAUGGCGGCCCAGGCGUGUAGCCCUCCAACGGCACCUUCCUGCCCGUGGCUGCCCCGCCUGCCCCCGCCGCAGGUUCCCCCUGCCCGUCCUGUGAGGAGCUGGAUUAGCCAGGGCGGCCAGCGGCACCUCAGUUCUAGGGUCGUGUUUGGGGGCUGACAGCCCCUCCUGCAGCUGUGGUUCUUGCUCAGAAUUCAUUAAUUCCUUCAGAGUCACAUCACACCAUCUGCAAGUCACCUCCCUAGUCUUUCUGGACCAUCCACAGCAGAGCCUGGGAAGAUUUUCUGCCCGUGAUUCUCAGAGGUAUCUAGUCAGUUCCCAGAGCUAAGUUCCUGGUGAAGAUGUGGCAGAUUCACUGGACCACAGUUUUGCCAUGCUCUGAACAUCUGCUGUGUUGCACUCCAGAUGCGGCUGCAUUUCACAGGCAGCGUGCCAGAGGAAAGAGCAAGGAAGAGAGAGCCAUGCUAACAUACAGAGCUGUCUCACGGAGAUUUUGCUUAUGGUUAGUUCAUUCGUGUAAUCUAAAAUGAAUGUUAUGCUGACUGACAGCAUCCGUUUGGUCUUAGUACAUGGAGGAA